GAUGAACGCUGGCGGCGUGCCUAAUACAUGCAAGUCGAGCGAACAGACGAGGAGCUUGCUCCUCUCACGUUAGUGGCGGACGGGUGAGUAACACGUGGAUAACCUACCUAUAAGACUGGGAUAACUUCGGGAAACCGGAGCUAAUACCGGAUAAUAUAUCGAACCGCAUGGUUCAAUAGUGAAAGACGGCUUUGCUGUCACUUAUAGAUUGAUCCGCGCGGCAUUAGCUAGUUGGUAAGGUAACGGCUUACCAAGGCGACGAUGCGUAGCCGACCUGAGAGGGUGAUAGGCCACACUGGAACUGAGACACGGUCCAGACUCCUACGGGAGGCAGCAGUAGGGAAUCUUCCGCAAUGGGCGAAAGCCUGACGGAGCAACGCCGCGUGAGUGAUGAAGGUCUUCGGAUCGUAAAACUCUGUUAUUAGGGAAGAACAAAUGUGUAAGUAACUAUGCACGUCUUGACGGUACCUAAUCAGAAAGCCACGGCUAACUACGUG
Molecule: ribosomal RNA, 497 nt
Filed under: uncultured bacterium
Lineage: Bacteria
Description: partial 16S ribosomal RNA
Rfam family: Bacterial small subunit ribosomal RNA
Source: RNAcentral